This 425-nucleotide ribosomal RNA is filed under the name uncultured bacterium. Its description in RNAcentral is "partial 16S ribosomal RNA". It matches the Rfam family "Bacterial small subunit ribosomal RNA", at positions 354 to 796 of the family's 1533-position model. The record is from RNAcentral.
GUUAGGAAUAUUGGACAAUGGGCGCAAGCCUGAUCCAGCCAUGCCGCGUGAGUGAUGAAGGCCUUCGGGUUGUAAAGCUCUUUAGUCCACGAAUAUAAUGACUGUAGUGGAAGAAUAAGCCCCGGCUAACUUCGUGCCAGCAGCCGCGGUAAUACGAAGGGGGCGAGCGUUAUUCGGAAUCACUGGGCGUAAAGCGUGCGUAGGCUGUUUUGUAAGUCAGAAGUGAAAGCCAAGGGCUUAACCCUGGAAUUGCUUUUGAAACUACAAGACUCGAAUUCGGGAGAGGAUAGCGGAAUUGUCAGUGUAGCAGUGAAAUGCGUAGAUAUUGACAGGAACACCAGUGGCGCAAGCGGCUAUCUGGACCGAUAUUGACGCUGAGGCACGAAAGCGUGGGGAGCAAACAGGAUUAGAAACCCCGGUAGUCC